RNAcentral lists this long non-coding RNA (426 nucleotides) under Medicago truncatula (barrel medic). Its description in RNAcentral is "lncRNA gene21466". Lineage: Eukaryota; Viridiplantae; Streptophyta; Magnoliopsida; Fabales; Fabaceae. The record is from RNAcentral.
CUCUCAUUUCGCAUCCUUUCCUCAUUCAUCAUUCAUCUGCAAUUUUUCAUACUUUCUCCGAUCAACCCUAAUCCCCUUUUUCACAAAACUAAUUCCAUAAUCUCAUGCAUGUGAACCAAAAAUUUUCAGAUCCAUGCCACCAAUUCGAUUUCUAUGAACUUUGAAGCUUAAUUUUAUCAAGAUUAUUAUUGAAGGUUUAAUAACUUUGUUGUGAGAUUGCAAAGUGAUUAUAAAAAGAUCAAGGAUCUUUAUGAUUGAUGCCAUUGUUGUUCGUUGAUUUUGGUAUUGGGAAAAUUCCAUACCAUUUUUUGAGAUGGAAUGGAAAAUCCAGCUAGUUAUGGGAAUCAUGAGAUUGAACAAGUUAGUUUCAUCAAAGGUUUCUUAAUUACUGGUACUUAUAGUUAUACAUGUCUAUUAUGUGUGUGA